This 689-nucleotide ribosomal RNA is filed under the name uncultured euryarchaeote. RNAcentral's name for it is "bacterial SSU rRNA". It matches the Rfam family "Archaeal small subunit ribosomal RNA", at positions 187 to 879 of the family's 1478-position model. The record is from RNAcentral. Lineage: Archaea; Methanobacteriati; Methanobacteriota.
GAAAGCUUUUGCGUCUGAGGAUGGGUCUGCGGCCGAUUAGGUAGUUGCUGGGGUAACGUCCCAACAAGCCGAUAAUCGGUACGGGUUGUGAGAGCAAGAGCCCGGAGAUGGAUUCUGAGACACGAAUCCAGGUCCUACGGGGCGCAGCAGGCGCGAAAACUUUACACUGCGCGAAAGCGCGAUAAGGGGACCUCGAGUGCGUGCGCAAUGCGUACGCUUUUCAGAUGCCUAAAAAGCAUGUGGAAUAAGGGCCGGGCAAGACCGGUGCCAGCCGCCGCGGUAACACCGGCGGCUCAAGUGGUGGCCGCUAUUAUUGGGCUUAAAGGGUCCGUAGCCGGACCAGUUAGUCCCUUGGGAAAUCUUACGGCUUAACCGUAAGGCUGCCAAUGGAUACUGCUGGUCUUGGGACCGGGAGAGGUAAGAGGUACCUCAGGGGUAGGAGUGAAAUCCUGUAAUCCUUGAGGGACCGCCAGUGGCGAAGGCGUCUUACUAGAACGGGUCCGACGGUGAGGGACGAAAGCUAGGGGCACGAACCGGAUUAGAUACCCGGGUAGUCCUAGCCGUAAACGAUGCGAGCUAGGUGUCACGUGGAUUGCGAAUCCAUGUGGUGCCGAAGGGAAACCGUGAAGCUCGCCGCCUGGGAAGUACGGCCGCAAGGCUGAAACUUAAAGGAAUUGGCGGGGGAGCAC